CGUCGCCGCUGCCGCUGCUGGAUGACAGGAACGGCGGAACCGGGAACGGUGGAGUCGUGAGAGUGUUGUCGGACGUAGUGCCUGUGUGCCUCGAAGUGAUAAAUUGAUUUCGUGCGACGAGAGACGGCACCGGCGCGCAUCUAUGGAUAUUCCUCGCGAUACGUGUGACUGACAAGUAACGAGAACGAACGCAAAUUUUCGGAUUGCGCGCACACGAGCUGGGGAGUGGAAGAACAACAACAACGUGAGGAGCAACGACGAGGCACCAUCUCUCUCUCUCUCUCUCUCUCUCUCUCUCUC
This is a long non-coding RNA of Pogonomyrmex barbatus (red harvester ant), 300 nucleotides long. Lineage: Eukaryota; Metazoa; Arthropoda; Insecta; Hymenoptera; Formicidae. The record is from RefSeq and is a predicted model, not a curated record.